RNAcentral lists this ribosomal RNA (253 nucleotides) under uncultured bacterium. Its description in RNAcentral is "partial 16S ribosomal RNA". It matches the Rfam family "Bacterial small subunit ribosomal RNA", at positions 524 to 776 of the family's 1533-position model. The record is from RNAcentral.
GACGGGGGGGGCAAGUGUUCUUCGGAAUGACUGGGCGUAAAGGGUGCGCAGGCGGCCGGGUGUGUCAGAUGUGAAAUCCCGAGGCUUAACCUCGGAACUGCGUCUGAAACUACUCGGCUAGAGUACUGGAGAGGGUAACGGAAUUCACGGUGUAGCAGUGAAAUGCGUAGAUAUCGUGAGGAACACCAGAGGCGAAGGCGGUUACCUGGACAGUUACUGACGCUCAGGCACGAAAGCAUGGGGAGCAAACAGG